RNAcentral lists this ribosomal RNA (373 nucleotides) under Ephoron shigae. RNAcentral describes it as "partial 16S ribosomal RNA". The record is from RNAcentral. Lineage: Eukaryota; Metazoa; Arthropoda; Insecta; Ephemeroptera; Polymitarcyidae.
CGCUUUUUGAACAUAUAGAAGGUAUAGUCUGCCCACUGAAGAAUUGAAGGGCCGCAGUAUUUUGACUGUGCAAAGGUAGCAUAAUCAUUAGUCUUCUAAUUAAAGGCUGGUAUGAAUGGCUGGACGAAGUAUAAGCUGUCUCAUAAAGAUAAUUUUUAAUUUAACUUUUUAGUGAAAAGGCUAAAAUAAUAUUGGAGGACGAGAAGACCCUAUAGAGCUUUAUAUAGUAGUAAGUUAUGAGUGUGGAUUAAUAGUUUGCAAAUUAUGAAUGUAUUUUGUUGGGGUGAUAGGGAAAUAAAUAAACUUUCUUUUAUUAUAAACAUAGAUGAAUGAGUGUGAGAUCCAUUAUUAGUGAUUAAAAGAUUAAGUUACC